This 78-nucleotide small nucleolar RNA is filed under the name Mesitornis unicolor (brown roatelo). RNAcentral's name for it is "Small nucleolar RNA SNORD79". It matches the Rfam family "Small nucleolar RNA SNORD79". From Rfam's summary of the family: snoRNA U79 or Z22 is found in intron 7 of the gas5 gene in humans and is also present in mice. U79 is a member of the C/D class of snoRNA which contain C (UGAUGA) and D (CUGA) box motifs. Lineage: Eukaryota; Metazoa; Chordata; Aves; Mesitornithiformes; Mesitornithidae. The record is from Rfam by way of RNAcentral.
UACUGUUUGUGAUGAUUAAUUCUAAGCAAUGGGAAUCUCUCUGAAAGAGGCUGAGGAGAAUCUUGCACUGAAACAGUA